GAUGACAUCUCCUGUACUAUAUCUAACUUCUUAAAUUUCUUACGAAUGACAUUUCACUAAUAUAAAGAGAUUGCUAUGUUAUCCCUUUCCAGCUUGAACUCAAGGAAGAAAAUAAAUCUAGCAUUUCAUUUUCUCUUGGCAGUUUGUAUUGCUUUCCAUAUUUCUUCUGCGGAUGAAAUGAGAUAGCUCCCAGAGCUUGCAGAAGAGGUGCAAUUAGUAAAAUUAUUUUUAUUCUUGAAAAUAAAGGCCCUUUUUUUCUAUAAGCCAUAUAAAUCCCUCACACUUCUGUGGAUUCACAGUUGAAAUGGUUUUUUUCCAUGCUAAUCACUCCAAAUAUUGCAAAUGGUGAUUUUUUUUUUUUUCCAUAUUUCUUCUGCGGAUGAAAUGAGAUAGCUCCCAGAGCUUGCAGAAGAGGUGCAAUUAGUAAAAUUAUUUUUAUUCUUGAAAAUAAAGGCCCUUUUUUUCUAUAAGCCAUAUAAAUCCCUCACACUUCUGUGGAUUCACAGCUGAAAUGUUUUUUUUUCCAUGGUAAUCACUCCAAAUAUUGCAAAUGGUGAUUUUUUUUUUUCAGAUAAAGGAAACUAAGCCUAUAACCUGGUCCAUAAAAAAUUAAGUAUCCCAUUGAACAGACUUAGGUGUUAAUCCUAGCAAAAUUCCAUUAGAAGCAAUCAUCCUGCUUAAAAAUCCUUUCAGCUUCUACUAGGCCUUGCAUUUCAGAUGACUUAAAAAUAGGAUAUUACAGUACAGAUCAUGCUACGCAACAGAUAUCAAAGAAAUACCAGGAUUAUAGGAGCUAGCUAUUGCUACGCAAGCUUUAAUCAAGUGAGAUUUAUUCAUCUAUAAAAGCGUCAUUCAAAACCACUAUGAAGAAAAAACUGAAGAACAGGCUUCAAAUCUUUGUAAAGACAUAAAUGAUAGACUGACAGAUGUUGAGUUUUUCAUAAACAGGCUACCGACUAGAGAACGAGGAGCAGCCGUGGGCACUGCAGGUGGCUCUCUGCUGCCCUCUAGGGGCUGUCACACAAACUUCCUUAUCAACAGAUUUCAGGAUGCAAUUGGGACAGUGAAAAGGAUCCAAAUUGUGAAGUAUAGAACUCAAAUUUCAAAGCAAAGUGUGACGAGCUGA
RNAcentral lists this long non-coding RNA (1126 nucleotides) under Calidris pugnax (ruff). RNAcentral describes it as "lncRNA (ENSCPUG00000009867.1)". Lineage: Eukaryota; Metazoa; Chordata; Aves; Charadriiformes; Scolopacidae. The record is from RNAcentral.